RNAcentral lists this ribosomal RNA (479 nucleotides) under uncultured bacterium. RNAcentral's name for it is "partial 16S ribosomal RNA". It matches the Rfam family "Bacterial small subunit ribosomal RNA", at positions 28 to 507 of the family's 1533-position model. The record is from RNAcentral.
GAUGAACGCUAGCGGGAGGCCUAACACAUGCAAGCCGAGCGGUAUUUGUUCUUCGGAACAGAGAGAGCGGCGCACGGGUGCGGAACACGUGUGCAACCUGCCUUUAUCUGGGGGAUAGCCUUUCGAAAGGAAGAUUAAUACCCCAUAAUAUAUUGAGUGGCAUCACUUGAUAUUGAAAACUCCGGUGGAUAGAGAUGGGCACGCGCAAGAUUAGAUAGUUGGUGAGGUAACGGCUCACCAAGUCAAUGAUCUUUAGGGGGCCUGAGAGGGUGAUCCCCCACACUGGUACUGAGACACGGACCAGACUCCUACGGGAGGCAGCAGCGAGGAAUAUUGAACAAUGGGUUAGCGCCUGAUCCAGCCAUCCCGCGUGAAGGACGACGGCCCUAUGGGUUGUAAACUUCUUUUGUAUAGGGAUAAACCUACUCUCGUGAGAGUAGCUGAAGGUACUAUACGAAUAAGCACCGGCUAACUCCGUG